This is a long non-coding RNA of Oncorhynchus keta (chum salmon), 5897 nucleotides long. RefSeq lists it as uncharacterized. The record is from RefSeq and is a predicted model, not a curated record. The transcript has 9 exons. Lineage: Eukaryota; Metazoa; Chordata; Actinopteri; Salmoniformes; Salmonidae.
AUGAAUUAACCAAAACAGAGUGAGAGAAGAGAUUCUCUUCAGCAACAAAAUUCCAGAAGAACAAAAGAGUCUAUCACCCUGUCAUACUGUUUAAUUUGUUAUUUCACCUUUAUUUAACCAGGUAGGCUAGUUGAGAACACCUUUAUUUAACCAGGUAGGCUAGUUGAGAACACCUUUAUUUAACCAGGUAGGCUAGUUGAGAACACCUUUAUUUAACCAGGUAGGCCCAGUUGAGAACACCUUUAUUUAACCAGGUAGGCUAGUUGAGAACACCUUUAUUUAACCAGGUAGGCUAGUUGAGAACACCUUUAUUUAACCAGGUAGGCCAGUUGAGAACACCUUUAUUUAUCCAGGUAGGCCGGUUGAGAACACCUUUAUUUAACCAGGUAGGCUAGUUGAGAACACCUUUAUUUAACCAGGUAGGCUAGUUGAGAACACCUUUAUUUAACCAGGUAGGCUAGUUGAGAACACCUUUAUUUAACCAGGUAGGCUAGUUGAGAACACCUUUAUUUAACCAGGUAGGCUAGUUGAGAACACCUUUAUUUAACCAGAUAGGCUAUUUGAGAACAAGUUCUCAUUUGCAACUGCGACCUGGCCAAGAUAAACCAUAGCAGUUCGACACAUAUAACAACACAGAGUUUCACAUGGAAUAAACCAACAUGCAGUCAAUAAUACAGUAGAUCUAUAUACAGCAUGUGUAAAUGAGGCAGGAUGAGAGAGGUAAUAAAUACAGUAGAUCUAUAUACAGCAUGUGUAAAUGAGGUAGGAUGAGAGAGGUAAUAAAUACAGUAGAUCUAUAUACAGCAUGUGUAAAUGAGGCAGGAUGAGAGAGGUAAUAAAUACAGUAGAUCUAUAUACAGCAUGUGUAAAUGAGGUAGGAUGAGAGAGGUAAUAAAUACAGUAGAUCUAUAUACAGCAUGUGUAAAUGAGGUAGGAUGAGAGAGGUAAUAAAUACAGUAGAUCUAUAUACAGCAUGUGUAAAUGAGGCAGGAUGAGAGAGGUAAUAAAUACAGUAGAUCUAUAUACAGCAUGUGUAAAUGAGGUAGGAUGAGAGAGGUAAUAAAUACAGUAGAUCUAUAUACAGCAUGUGUAAAUGAGGUAGGAUGAGAGAGGUAAUAAAUACAGUAGAUCUAUAUACAGCAUGUGUAAAUGAGGUAGGAUGAGAGAGGUAAUAAAUACAGUAGAUCUAUAUACAGCAUGUGUAAAUGAGGCGAGGCAGGAUAAGAGAGGUAAUAAAUACAGUAGAUCUAUAUACAGCAUGUGUAAAUGAGGCAGGAUAAGAGAGGUAAUAAAUACAGUAGAUCUAUAUACAGCAUGUGUAAAUGAGGUAGGAUGAGAGAGGUAAUAAAUACAGUAGAUCUAUAUACAGCAUGUGUAAAUGAGGCAGGAUGAGAGAGGUAAUAAAUACAGUAGAUCUAUAUACAGCAUGUGUAAAUGAGGUAGGAUGAGAGAGGUAAUAAAUACAGUAGAUCUAUAUACAGCAUGUGUAAAUGAGGUAGGAUGAGAGAGGUAAUAAAUACAGUAGAUCUAUAUACAGCAUGUGUAAAUGAGGCAGGAUGAGAGAGGUAAUAAAUACAGUAGAUCUAUAUACAGCAUGUGUAAAUGAGGCAGGAUGAGAGAGGUAAUAAAUACAGUAGAUCUAUAUACAGCAUGUGUAAAUGAGGCAGGAUAAGAGAGGUAAUAAAUACAGUAGAUCUAUAUACAGCAUGUGUAAAUGAGGCAGGAUAAGAGAGGUAAUAAAUACAGUAGAUCUAUAUACAGCAUGUGUAAAUGAGGCAGGAUAAGAGAGGUAAUAAAUACAGUAGAUCUAUAUACAGCAUGUGUAAAUGAGGUAGGAUGAGAGAGGGAGGUAAUAAAUACAGUAUUUCUAUAUACAGCAUGUGUAAAUGAGGUAGGAUGAGAGAGGUAAUAAAUACAGUAGAUCUAUAUACAGCAUGUGUAAAUGAGGCAGGAUAAGAGAGGUAAUAAAUACAGUAGAUCUAUAUACAGCAUGUGUAAAUGAGGUAGGAUGAGAGAGGUAAUAAAUACAGUAGAUCUAUAUACAGCAUGUGUAAAUGAGGUAGGAUGAGAGAGGUAAUAAAUACAGUAGAUCUAUAUACAGCAUGUGUAAAUGAGGCGAGGCAGGAUGAGAGAGGUAAUAAAUACAGUAGAUCUAUAUACAGCAUGUGUAAAUGAGGCAGGAUGAGAGAGGUAAUAAAUACAGUAGAUCUAUAUACAGCAUGUGUAAAUGAGGCAGGAUGAGAGAGGUAAUAAAUACAGUAGAUCUAUAUACAGCAUGUGCAAAUGAGGCAGGAUGAGAGAGGUAAUAAAUACAGUAGAUCUAUAUACAGCAUGUGUAAAUGAGGCAGGAUGAGAGAGGUAAUAAAUACAGUAGAUCUAUAUACAGCAUGUGUAAAUGAGGCAGGAUGAGAGAGGUAAUAAAUACAGUAGAUCUAUAUACAGCAUGUGUAAAUGAGGCAGGAUGAGAGAGGUAAUAAAUACAGUAGAUCUAUAUACAGCAUGUGCAAAUGAGGCAGGAUAAGAGAGGUAAUAAAUACAGUAGAUCUAUAUACAGCAUGUGUAAAUGAGGCAGGAUGAGAGAGGUAAUACAUACAGUAGAUCUAUAUACAGCAUGUGUAAAUGAGGCAGGAUGAGAGAGGUAAUAAAUACAGUAGAUCUAUAUACAGCAUGUGUAAAUGAGGCAGGAUGAGAGAGGUAAUAAAUACAGUAGAUCUAUAUACAGCAUGUGUAAAUGAGGCAGGAUAAGAGAGGUAAUAAAUACAGUAGAUCUAUAUACAGCAUGUGUAAAUGAGGCAGGAUGAGAGAGGUAAUAAAUACAGUAGAUCUAUUUACAGCAUGUGUAAAUGAGGCAGGAUGAGAGAGGUAAUAAAUACAGUAGAUCUAUAUACAGCAUGUGCAAAUGAGGCAGGAUAAGAGAGGUAAUAAAUACAGUAGAUCUAUAUACAGCAUGUGUAAAUGAGGCAGGAUGAGAGAGGUAAUAAAUACAGUAGAUCUAUAUACAGCAUGUGUAAAUGAGGCAGGAUGAGAGAGGUAAUAAAUACUGUAGAUCUAUAUACAGCAUGUGUAAAUGAGGCAGGAUAAGAGACGUAAUACAUACAGUAGAUCUAUAUACAGCAUGUGUAAAUGAGGCAGGAUGAGAGAGGUAAUAAAUACAGUAGAACUAUAUACAGCAUGUGUAAAUGAGGCAGGAUGAGAGAGGUGAUAAAUACAGUAGAUCUAUAUACAGCAUUUGUAAAUGAGGCAGGAUGAGAGAGGUAAUAAAUACAGUAGAUCUAUAUACAGCAUGUGUAAAUGAGGCAGGAUAAGAGAGGUAAUAAAAACAGUAGAUCUAUAUACAGCAUGUGUAAAUGAGGCAGGAUGAGAGAGGUAAUAAAUACAGUAGAUCUAUAUACAGCAUGUGUAAAUGAGGCAGGAUGAGAGAGGUAAUAAAUACAGUAGAUCUAUAUACAGCAUGUGCAAAUGAGGCAGGAUGAGAGAGGUAAUAAAUACAGUAGAUCUAUAUACAGCAUGUGUAAAUGAGGCAGGAUGAGAGAGGUAAUAAAUACAGUAGAUCUAUAUACAGCAUGUGUAAAUGAGGCAGGAUGAGAGAGGUAAUAAAUACUGUACAUACCUUUAUUUUAUGUCCUCGGCUACUUGGCUAAAAAGCUUGGUUCGCAACGUUCGCUAGUUAACUAUUAAACAUUAGCCGUCUACAUCUAGCUACAUAUUGAACUUCCAUCCUCUCAGGUCAGGGGCGCAAUGUAUGAAUUAAUGAUUAGUUCAGAAUCAGCUUUAUAAUCAUUAGCCAGUAUGGAGAAUUAAGUAAAACCACAAGUCCAAAUUCCUAUCUCCAUCUCCGUGCCUCACAAAGACGGGCACUUAUUGGUAGAUGGGAAAAACAAAAGCAGGCAUUGAAUUUGCCUUUGAGCCUGGUGAAGAUAUUAUUAAUUACACUUUGGAUGGGGUAUCAACACACCCAGUCACUACAAAGAUACAGGCAUCUUCCUAACUUAGUUGCCGGAGAGGAAGGAAACCUCUCAUUGAUUUCACCAUGAGGCCAAUGGUGACUUAAAAACAGUUACAGAGUUUAAUGGCUGUGAUAGGAGAAAACUGAGGAUGGAUCAACAACAUUAUAGUUACUCCUCAAUACUAACCUAACUGACAGAGUUUAAUGGCUGUGAUAGGAGAACACUGAGGAUGGAUCAACAACAUUAUAGUUACUCCUCAAUACUAACCUAACUGACAGAGUAUAAUGGCUGUGAUAGGAGAACACUGAGGAUGGAUCAACUACAUUAUAGUUACUCCUCAAUACUAUCCUAACUGACAGAGUUUAAUGGCUGUGAUAGGAGAACACUGAGGAUGGAUCAACUACAUUAUAGUUACUUCUCAAUACUAACCUAACUGACAGAGUUUAAUGGCUGUGAUAGGAUGAACGCUGAGGAUGGAUCAACAACAUUAUAGUUACUCCUCAAUACUAACCUAACUGACAGAAUUUAAUGGCUGUGAUGGGAGAACACUGAGGAUGGAUCAACUACAUUAUAGUUACUCCUCAAUACUAACCUAACUGACAGAGUUUAAUGGCUGUGAUGGGAGAACACUGAGGAUGGAUCAACUACAUUAUAGUUACUCCUCAAUACUAACCUAACUGACAGAGUGGCUGUGAUAGGAGAACACUGAGGAUGGAUCAACUACAUUAUAGUUACUCCUCAAUACUAACCUAACUGACAGAGUUUAAUGGCUGUGAUCCAGUAGUGAAUCAUUUAGCAGACGCUCUGAUCCAGUAGUGAGUCAUUUAACAGACGCUCUGAUCCAGUAGUGAAUCAUUUAGCAGACGCUCUGAUCCAGUAGUGAAUCAUUUAGCAGACGAUCUGAUCCGGUAGUGAGUCAUUUAGCAGACGCUCUGAUCCAGUAGUGAGUCAUUUAGCAGACGCUCUGAUCCAGUAGUGAGUCAUUUAGCAGACGCUCCGAUCCAGUAGUGAGUCAUUUAGCAGACGCUCUGAUCCAGUAGUGAGUCAUUUAGCAGACGCUCUGAUCCAGUAGUGAAUCAUUUAGCAGACGCUCUGAUCCAGUAGUGAGUCAUUUAGCAGACGCUCUGAUCCAGUAGUGAUUAUUUUAGCAGACGCUCUGAUCCAGUAGUGAGUCAUUAAGCAGACACUCUGAUCCAAUAGUGAGUCAUUUAGCAGGCGCUCUGAUGCAGAGGUGAGUCAUUUAGCAGACGCUCUGAUCCAGUAGUGAAUCAUUUAGCAGAUGCUCUGAUGCAGUAGUGAGUCAUUUAGCAGACACUCUGAUCCAAUAGUGAGUCAUUUAGCAGGCGCUCUGAUGCAGAGGUGAGUCAUUUAGCAGACGCUCUGAUCCAGUAGUGAGUCAUUUAGCAGAUGCUCUGAUCCAGUAGUGAGUCAUUAAGCAGACGCUCUGAUGCAGUAGUGAGUCAUUAAGCAGAUGCUCUGAUGCAGUAGUGAGUCAUUUAGCAGACACUCUGAUCCAGUAGUGAGUCAUUUAGCAGACACUCUGAUCCAGUAGUGAAUCAUUUAGCAGACGCUCUGAUCCAGUAGUGAGUCAUUUAGCAGGCGCUCUGAUGCAGAGGUGAGUCAUUUAGCAGACGCUCUGAUCCAGUAGUGAGUCAUUUAGCAGAAACUCCGAUCCAGUAGUGAGUCAUUUAGCAGACGCUCUGAUCCAGUAGUGAGUCAUUUAGCAGACGCUCUGAUCCAGUAGUGAGUCAAUUACCCAGAUUACAUGGAGAGGAGGACCUGAUCCUAGACCAUAAUGAAUCAGAUUACAUGGAGAGGAGGACCUGAUCCUAGAUCAGAAUGAAUCAGAUUACAUGGAGAGGGGGGAUCUGAUCCUAGAUCAUAAUGAAUCAGAUUACAUGGAGAGAGGGGAUCUGAUCCUAGAUCAUAAUGAAUCAGAUUACAUGGAGA